Molecule: ribosomal RNA, 709 nt
Filed under: Serratia proteamaculans
Lineage: Bacteria; Pseudomonadati; Pseudomonadota; Gammaproteobacteria; Enterobacterales; Yersiniaceae
Description: partial 23S ribosomal RNA
Rfam family: Bacterial large subunit ribosomal RNA
Source: RNAcentral
GGGGUGAGGACAGUGUCUGGUGGGUAGUUUGACUGGGGCGGUCUCCUCCCAAAGAGUAACGGAGGAGCACGAAGGUUAGCUAAUCACGGUCGGACAUCGUGAGGUUAGUGCAAAGGCAUAAGCUAGCUUGACUGCGAGAGUGACGGCUCGAGCAGGUACGAAAGUAGGUCUUAGUGAUCCGGUGGUUCUGAAUGGAAGGGCCAUCGCUCAACGGAUAAAAGGUACUCCGGGGAUAACAGGCUGAUACCGCCCAAGAGUUCAUAUCGACGGCGGUGUUUGGCACCUCGAUGUCGGCUCAUCACAUCCUGGGGCUGAAGUAGGUCCCAAGGGUAUGGCUGUUCGCCAUUUAAAGUGGUACGCGAGCUGGGUUUAGAACGUCGUGAGACAGUUCGGUCCCUAUCUGCCGUGGGCGUUGGAAGAUUGAGAGGGGUUGCUCCUAGUACGAGAGGACCGGAGUGAACGCACCACUGGUGUUCGGGUUGUCAUGCCAAUGGCAUUGCCCGGUAGCUAAGUGCGGAAAAGAUAAGCGCUGAAAGCAUCUAAGCGCGAAACUUGCCUCGAGAUGAGUCUUCCCUGGGAACUUGAUUCCCCUGAAGGAACGUUUAAGACUAAGACGUUGAUAGGCUGGGUGUGUAAGUGCAGCGAUGCAUUGAGCUAACCAGUACUAAUGAUCCGUGAGACUUAACCUUACAACACCAAAAGUGUUUUG